Molecule: ribosomal RNA, 669 nt
Filed under: Phormidium chalybeum PUPCCC 118.8/1
Lineage: Bacteria; Bacillati; Cyanobacteriota; Cyanophyceae; Oscillatoriales; Oscillatoriaceae
Description: bacterial SSU rRNA
Rfam family: Bacterial small subunit ribosomal RNA
Source: RNAcentral
UAGUGGCGGACGGGUGAGUAACGCGUGAGAAUCUAGCUUCAGAAUGGGGACAACAGAGGGAAACCGCUGCUAAUACCCGAUGUGCCGAAAGGUGAAAGAUUUAUCGUCUGAAGAUGAGCUCGCGUCCGAUUAGCUAGUUGGUAGGGUAAAAGCCUACCAAGGCGACGAUCGGUAGCUGGUCUGAGAGGAUGACCAGCCACACUGGGACUGAGACACGGCCCAGACUCCUACGGGAGGCAGCAGUGGGGAAUUUUCCGCAAUGGGCGAAAGCCUGACGGAGCAAGACCGCGUGAGGGAGGAAGGCUCUUGGGUUGAAACCUCUUUUCUCUGGGAAGAAGCUCUGACGGUACCAGAGGAAUCAGCAUCGGCUAACUCCGUGCCAGCAGCCGCGGUAAUACGGAGGAUGCAAGCGUUAUCCGGAAUUAUUGGGCGUAAAGCGUCCGUAGGUGGCAAUUCAAGUCUGCCGUUAAAACCAGUGGCUUAACUACGAGGGGCGGUGGAAACUGAAUAGCUAGAGUGUGGUAGGGGUAGAGGGAAUUCCCAGUGUAGCGGUGAAAUGCGUAGAGAUUGGGAAGAACACCGGUGGCGAAAGCGCUCUGCUGGACCACAACUGACACUCACAGGACGAAAGCUAGGGGAGCGAAAGGGAUUAGAUACCCCUGUAGUCCU